Molecule: ribosomal RNA, 1816 nt
Organism: Branchiostoma floridae (Florida lancelet)
Lineage: Eukaryota; Metazoa; Chordata; Leptocardii; Amphioxiformes; Branchiostomatidae
Source: RefSeq, a predicted model, not a curated record
UACCUGGUUGAUCCUGCCAGUAGUCAUAUGCUUGUCUCAAAGAUUAAGCCAUGCACGUGCAAGUUUAAACUGUCUCAGUGAAACUGCGAAUGGCUCAUUAAAUCAGUUAUGGUUCCUUUGAUCGUCACAUCCUACAUGGAUAACUGUGGUAAUUCUAGAGCUAAUACAUGCGGAAGAAGCGCCGACCUCACGGUCUGGCGUGCAUUUAUCAGACCAAGACCAACCCGGGGUUCGCCCCGGUCCCUUUGGUGACUCUGGAUAACCCAGCCGAUCGCACGGUCUUCGCACCGGCGACAGAUCAUUCGAAUGUCUGCCCUAUCAACUUUCGAUGGUAGGUUCUGUGCCUACCAUGGUGGCAACGGGUGACGGGGAAUCAGGGUUCGGUUCCGGAGAGGGAGCCUGAGAAACGGCUACCACAUCCAAGGAAGGCAGCAGGCGCGCAAAUUACCCACUCCCGACUCGGGGAGGUAGUGACGAAAAAUAACAAUACGGGACUCUUUCGAGGCCCCGUAAUUGGAAUGGGUACACUUUAAAUCCUUUAACGAGGAUCUAUUGGAGGGCAAGUCUGGUGCCAGCAGCCGCGGUAAUUCCAGCUCCAAUAGCGUAUAUUAAAGUUGUUGCGGUUAAAAAGCUCGUAGUUGGAUCUUGGGACCGGGCUUGCGGUCCGCCGCGAGGCGUGUCACUGCUCGUCCCGGCCCUCCCCGCCGGAUUCUCCUUGGUGCUCUUAACUGAGUGCCUCGGGGUGCCGGAGCGUUUACUUUGAAAAAAUUAGAGUGUUCAAAGCAGGCCUGGCGCCUGAAUAGUGGUGCAUGGAAUAAUGGAAUAGGACCUCGGUUCUAUUUCGUUGGUUUUCGGAACGUGAGGUAAUGAUCAAGAGGGACGGACGGGGGCAUUCGUAUUGCGGCGGGAGAGGUGAAAUUCUUGGAUCGCCGCAAGACGAACCACUGCGAAAGCAUUUGCCAAGAAUGUUUUCAUUGAUCAAGAACGAAAGUUGUGGGCGCGAAGGCGAUCAGAUACCGCCCUAGUCACAACCAUAAACGAUGCCAACCAGCGAUCCGCCGGCGUUACUUCGAUGACCCGAUGGGCAGCUCCCGGGAAACCUGAGUUUUCGGGUUCCGGGGGAAGUAUGGUUGCAAAGCUGGAACUUAAAGGAAUUGACGGAAGGGCACCACCAGGAGUGGAGCCUGCGGCUUAAUUUGACUCAACACGGGGAAACUCACCCGGCCCGGACACAGUAAGGAUUGACAGAUUGAGAGCUCUUUCUUGAUUCUGUGGGUGGUGGUGCAUGGCCGUUCUUAGUUGGUGGAGCGAUUUGUCUGGCUAAUCCCGAUAACGAACGAGACUCUGGCAUGCUAACUAGUUCGGCGAUCCCGCGCGAUCGGCCGCAACUUCUUAGAGGGACAGCCGGCAGUAAGCCGGACGAGAUGGAGCAAUAACAGGUCUGUGAUGCCCUUAGAUGUCCGGGGCCGCACGCGCGCUACAAUGAAGGCAUCAGCGAGUCUUUCGCCUUCGCCGAAAGGUGCGGGUAACCUGCUGAACCGCCUUCGUGCUAGGGAUCGGGGAUUGCAAUUAUCUCCCAUGAACGAGGAAUUCCCAGUAGAUGCGUGUCAUCAGCGCGCGUUGAUUACGUCCCUGCCCUUUGUACACACCGCCCGUCGCUACUACCGAUUGAAUGGUUUAGUGAGGUCAGUCGAUCGGCCCCUCUCGGGCCGGCAACGGUCUGGAGGAGCGCCGAGAAGCCGAUCAAACUUGACCAUUUAGAGGAAGUAAAAGUCGUAACAAGGUUUCCGUAGGUGAACCUGCGGAAGGAUCAUUA